This 316-nucleotide ribosomal RNA is filed under the name uncultured bacterium. RNAcentral's name for it is "bacterial SSU rRNA". It matches the Rfam family "Bacterial small subunit ribosomal RNA", at positions 493 to 801 of the family's 1533-position model. The record is from RNAcentral.
UCUGUGAACUCCUACGGGAGGCAGCAGCCGCGGUAAUACGUAGGGUGCAAGCGUUAAUCGGAAUUACUGGGCGUAAAGCGUGCGCAGGCGGUUGUGUAAGUCAGAUGUGAAAUCCCCGGGCUCAACCUGGGAAUUGCAUUUGAGACUGCACGGCUAGAGUGUGUCAGAGGGGGGUAGAAUUCCACGUGUAGCAGUGAAAUGCGUAGAUAUGUGGAGGAAUACCGAUGGCGAAGGCAGCCCCCUGGGAUAACACUGACGCUCAUGCACGAAAGCGUGGGGAGCAAACAGGAUUAGAAACCCCGGUAGUCCAUCAGCG